This 77-nucleotide transfer RNA is filed under the name Kordiimonas gwangyangensis. It matches the Rfam family "tRNA". From Rfam's summary of the family: Transfer RNA (tRNA) molecules are approximately 80 nucleotides in length. Their secondary structure includes four short double-helical elements and three loops (D, anti-codon, and T loops). Lineage: Bacteria; Pseudomonadati; Pseudomonadota; Alphaproteobacteria; Kordiimonadales; Kordiimonadaceae. RNAcentral also lists the same sequence under 6 other names. The record is from RNAcentral.
GGGCCGGUAGCUCAGGUGGUUAGAGCGCACGCCUGAUAAGCGUGAGGUCGGUGGUUCGAGUCCACCUCGGCCCACCA